RNAcentral lists this transfer RNA (75 nucleotides) under Boseongicola sp. SB0665_bin_10. RNAcentral's name for it is "tRNA-Gly". It matches the Rfam family "tRNA". Rfam says of the family: Transfer RNA (tRNA) molecules are approximately 80 nucleotides in length. Their secondary structure includes four short double-helical elements and three loops (D, anti-codon, and T loops). RNAcentral also lists the same sequence under 2 other names. The record is from RNAcentral. Lineage: Bacteria; Pseudomonadati; Pseudomonadota; Alphaproteobacteria; Rhodobacterales; Paracoccaceae.
GCGGGCGUAGCUCAAUGGAAGAGCGUGAGCUUUCCGGGCUCAAGACGGGGGUUCGAUUCCCACCCGCCCGCUCCA